Molecule: ribosomal RNA, 496 nt
Filed under: uncultured bacterium
Lineage: Bacteria
Description: partial 16S ribosomal RNA
Rfam family: Bacterial small subunit ribosomal RNA
Source: RNAcentral
AUGAACGCUGGCGGCGUGCCUCAUACAUGCAAGUCGCGCGAACGGACGAGAAGCUUGCUUCUCUGAUGUUAGCGGCGGACGGGUGAGUAACACGUGGAUAACCUACCUAUAGGACUGGGAUAACUUCGGGAAACCGUAGCUAAUACCGGAUAAUAUUUUGAACCGCAUGGUUCAAAAGUGAAAGACGGUCUUGCUGUCACUUAUAGAUGGAUCCGCGCUGCAUUAGCUAGUUGGUAAGGUAACGGCUUACCAAGGCAACGAUGCAUAGCCGACCUGAGAGGGUGAUCGGCCACACUGGAACUGAGACACGGUCCAGACUCCUACGGGAGGCAGCAGUAGGGAAUCUUCCGCAAUGGGCGAAAGCCUGACGGAGCAACGCCGCGUGAGUGAUGAAGGUCUUCGGAUCGUAAAACUCUGUUAUUAGGGAAGAACAUAUGUGUAAGUAACUGUGCACAUCUUGACGGUACCUAAUCAGAAAGCCACGGCUAACUACGUG